CAAAAACAAAUGGUUGUUGGUGGUUUUGGAUCCCAGAUGUUUAUGUGGAAUUUUGAACCCACUGUAUAAAAACGCAAAGCCAACAAAUUACCUUGCUCCACACUCCACCUAAUUUAAUACAUACAUUGCAAUACCACGCACUACCACUAAGGGGCGGCACAGACAAAGAACCAUCCUCGUUCUGGGUUUAAAAAACGGACUCGUCUGACUGCCUCAGUCCUGAAGUGAAAACUUUGUAAUGAAACACAAAUUAGAAUCUAACAGAAAUAACACUUUCAAAAGAGAAUACAUCAACAAAAUAGGCUGCGACACGAUCCCAGUAAAGCAUAAACACAAGAUCCACCAAAUAGCCUUCACAUAAAAACCUGAAAUGAAGCGACUAAAGACAUGAAGUGUGCAGGACGUCCUCUUUAAUGGAGGCCCAAGCCAUGCGUGGUGUGGUGAAGCUGGCAGCCCAGUCCCCGGUGGAGGACACAACAAUAGCUCCUCCGCAACCCUUCACUCUCUCUCCCAUGUACUGAAGUGAGGCUUCAGCGGCGGCUGUGGCUGAUUUCCCUGCAUUUCACAAAGGAACCACUCAAAAUCAUGGGUAAUGCAGUUUUUACCAGGAAUCCCAUCGUUGGACAAUAAAACAUCAAUAAAAGCAUUUCUGUCAGGACUACCAUUGUCAAAUAUGACUGACAAUUAACACAGUGUGGACUGGCAGUAUGGUUCUGUUCUGGGCAAAACCUCCCAGCCUAGCAUUGAUAAGAGCAGGGAGAGCAGCAAUAACCCCCAAUAUCAUUAAUGUUCUUAAUGACAAUUUAAUGUAAGAACAUAAUCUAGGAUAGGAAUAUCAACUAGGAAUAUUGAAUGUUAAGUCUUGACUGUGGAAGAAAGGAGGAGCUGGGGAUGGAGAAGGGUAACCAUGGAUUAGUAGGUAGUCAUGGAUUAGUUAAGAGUCAGCUGAUACGAGCUUGACUGACGUGACCUGCCAGAACUAAUGCUGUGCUUGAUAUAUAUAAUUGAUUAACAACCUUGUAGCACACAUUAGGUCUAGGAUAGGCAAGUUUUCAUUGAAAUGGAAAAAGUGAAUGGAAUUUCAUUUUUGAACUCUACCAUUGCUCUCUAUUCUAUUUUUUUUCAUACAUAUUUUUUCGAAAUGUAUUUUGACCCUGAAUAGUGGUAUCCAUAUUUAUUAAAUGAAUGAGAUUUAUCCAAUACUUAAAUCUGUUUUGAUCAAUAUUCUAUGAAUAGGAAGUUCUGGCACAUCGGUGACUGUUGUAUUAUAAAAGCGUGGUCAGACCAGAAGGGCAGAGGUAGGCCAUGUAAUCACCUAAAUAAAGGUGGAGGGUAAUUGAGUUCUAGGACCUGUGUGUUAAAAAGCCCAGUGAUGGCAGUACAGGGCGAGCAGAGGGAGGCUAUCAAUAAUGAAGCCACAGUGGGGCAGGAUGAAAGGCAGUAGCUCAGCCAACUGACACUUAGCACCUCCACAGCACUAUUUUUACAGACUCCCUCAGGGGCUGAGGUUACACCCCGCCAUGGCCCUGACUCCACUACUACUCAACACUCUUUGCUGGAGCCCACACAGCUCUAACUGCACUGCCUAAGGCCUCAGGGAAUGACAGUUCUGUGCAGGCCAGCACGUCAAUAUGCUGCCAUUCUCAGCCCAUUGCCUCAAUGCCAAGAAGAGCCACUUUUAAAACUCUAGAUUUUCAUCCUUUUCUUUUUUUCAUGAUAGUUGAAAGAGAAAUUAUUCAAGCAACACCAAAUACUUUCCCUGCAAGAACACAAAAAACAUAUCUUUCCAAAGAUGCUGUUGACAAUUUACUUCAACUGUACAGUCGUCAAAAUCAGUGUCUGAAAUGAAAUAUGUCAAGAGAACAGGAACUAUUAAAAACAUCUCAAAGCACAAAAUUGACAAAAUUACCCACCAUUGU
This is a long non-coding RNA of Cyprinus carpio (common carp), 1919 nucleotides long. RefSeq lists it as uncharacterized. The record is from RefSeq and is a predicted model, not a curated record. Lineage: Eukaryota; Metazoa; Chordata; Actinopteri; Cypriniformes; Cyprinidae. The transcript is spliced from 4 exons.